Molecule: ribosomal RNA, 466 nt
Filed under: Scheloribates laevigatus
Lineage: Eukaryota; Metazoa; Arthropoda; Arachnida; Sarcoptiformes; Scheloribatidae
Description: SSU rRNA
Rfam family: Eukaryotic small subunit ribosomal RNA
Source: RNAcentral
UUACCCAAUCCCAGAACGGGGAGGUAGUGACGAAAAAUAACAAUACGGGACUCUUAUGAGGCCCCGUAAUUGGAAUGAGAACAAUCUAAAUCCUUUAACGAGGAUCUAUUAGAGGGCAAGUCUGGUGCCAGCAGCCGCGGUAAUUCCAGCUCUAAUAGCGUAUACUAAAGUUGUUGUGGUUAAAAAGCUCGUAGUUGGAUCUCAGUUCUAGUCAGGCGGUCCACUUGCCAGUGGUUACUGCCUGGCUGAACACUUUAUCGACUCUGCCUACGGUACUCUUAACCGAGCGUCGUAGGCGAUCGAUACGUUUACUUUGAAAAAAUUAGAGUGCUCAAAGCAGGCUUUAAAAGCCCGAAUAAUGUUGCAUGGAAUAAUGAAAAAGGAUCUCGGUUCUAUUUUGUUGGUCUUCGGAAUCCGAGGUAAUGAUUAAGAGGGACAGACGGGGGCAUUCGUAUGCGACGCUAGA